UAUAAAAGUAUGCGUUAAUAUUGAAUGUAUUGCAAAAUGACUAAGCAUUUUAGGGCAUGACAUAUUCCUUUUGCGACUACUGUUUCAUUCCAAAUUAGUCUUGGCUGAAGAGUAGAAGCCAGUUCAGUGAUAUCUAUUAUUUCUUUUUUAUAAUCCAAGUUUGAGUUGUAUUCUAUCACGAGGAACAGAGGUUCUGCUCUCGUGCAUUCUUGUAUAGUACAAAAGCAGCGUCCGAUUGACGCUUUUUGUACGGGCUUGAAAGCUCUACGGCCUUCGUUGGCCAGCUACGUUCCACGAAGUGCCAUUCCGGACCGUGCGGGCCCGCCAUUACGGUAGCUAAACGGGAAUAGAGGCCAUCCGACCUGCCGAGAGUCUUCGAGGGAAGGUUUCAUUACGUCACGGUGGUUGAGUAGUCCCACAGGCGAGAACCAGUUGGAGGCACGUUGGCCUUCCGGACGAGAGGAGACGGUAGAGUAUCGGACCAUCAGCCACAGCCCAUUCCCGCAACGUUGUUUCGGCCCCUUACGCACGUGUGCCCCUCCCGGCGACGCUUCUGCCGAGGAGCUCUGGUGAUCCCUGGAACAAAAGGUUCGGACACCCGCUGUAGCCGGUACCCCGGCCGCUGGACGUCACGCAGCGUCGACCCACCCCUGACGGUUCGAGCAGCUGCCAGCAUCAGCAUAAAAUCCCUGAUCAGGUAUGUUGUUAAGCAUGGCCAUGUCACACACACUACAACACAUACACUUUCACGUUACACAUAAAUGAA
Molecule: long non-coding RNA, 766 nt
Organism: Aedes albopictus (Asian tiger mosquito)
Lineage: Eukaryota; Metazoa; Arthropoda; Insecta; Diptera; Culicidae
Exons: 3
Source: RefSeq, a predicted model, not a curated record